MicroRNA precursor from Zostera marina, 183 nucleotides. It matches the Rfam family "MIR159 microRNA precursor family". The record is from Rfam. NCBI's taxonomy places the organism in Eukaryota, Viridiplantae, Streptophyta, Magnoliopsida, Alismatales, Zosteraceae.
AAUGUGGUGAGAGAGCUUCCUUCUGUCCACUCAUGGAUGAUCAUGGGGUUUUAUUAACUGCCGACUCAUUCAUCCACUUGCUUAGCGAUAUCGUAGCUUAGUAGAUGACUGAAUGAUGCGGGAGUUAAAUUUGAUCUUUGAUUAUCUGUUCUUGGACUGAAGGGAGCUCCCUUGUCUUUUACU